UCAGUCGGCCGGACGGCCGCUCCGGCAAGUGCCGAAAGGCCGCCGGGGAGGAAAGUCCGGGCUCCCUUGACAUACGGUGCCGGAUAACGUCCGGCGGGGGCGACCCCAGGGAAAGUGCCACAGAGAACGAACCGCCCCGCUUCGCCUUCGGGCUUCGCGGGGUAAGGGUGAAAAGGUGCGGUAAGAGCGCACCGCGGGUCCGGCAACGGAGCCGGCAUGGUAAACCCCACCGGGAGCAAAACCGAAUAGGGACGGCGUAGCGGGCUGUUCGCUUUAAGCGAUAACGCCGCGGGGCGAUGUCAGGCCCGCCGUCCGGGUAGGUUGCUCGAGGCCAUGUGCAAACAUGGUCCCAGAGGAAUGGCCGUCACGUAUCGUUCGCGCAAGCGGGCGGUGCCUUACAGAACCCGGCUUACAGGCCGGCUGAUAUU
This 428-nucleotide RNase P RNA is filed under the name Frankia sp. RB7. Its description in RNAcentral is "RNase P RNA component class A". It matches the Rfam family "Bacterial RNase P class A". Rfam says of the family: Ribonuclease P (RNase P) is a ubiquitous endoribonuclease, found in archaea, bacteria and eukarya as well as chloroplasts and mitochondria. The record is from RNAcentral. Lineage: Bacteria; Bacillati; Actinomycetota; Actinomycetes; Frankiales; Frankiaceae.